Molecule: transfer RNA, 87 nt
Filed under: Chlorobaculum parvum
Lineage: Bacteria; Pseudomonadati; Chlorobiota; Chlorobiia; Chlorobiales; Chlorobiaceae
Description: tRNA-Ser
Rfam family: tRNA
About the family: Transfer RNA (tRNA) molecules are approximately 80 nucleotides in length. Their secondary structure includes four short double-helical elements and three loops (D, anti-codon, and T loops). Further hydrogen bonds mediate the characteristic L-shaped molecular structure. tRNAs have two regions of fundamental functional importance: the anti-codon, which is responsible for specific mRNA codon recognition, and the 3' end, to which the tRNAs corresponding amino acid is attached (by aminoacyl-tRNA synthetases). tRNAs cope with the degeneracy of the genetic code in two manners: having more than one tRNA (with a specific anti-codon) for a particular amino acid; and 'wobble' base-pairing, i.e. permitting non-standard base-pairing at the 3rd anti-codon position.
Source: RNAcentral
GGAGAGGUGCGAGAGUGGUUGAAUCGGGCGGUCUCGAAAACCGUUGUGCGCGCAAGCGUACCGUGGGUUCGAAUCCCACCCUCUCCG